Molecule: ribosomal RNA, 465 nt
Filed under: uncultured bacterium
Lineage: Bacteria
Description: partial 16S ribosomal RNA
Rfam family: Bacterial small subunit ribosomal RNA
Source: RNAcentral
GACGAACGCUGGCGGCGUGCUUAACACAUGCAAGUCGAACGGAAAGGCCCUGCUUGCAGGGUACUCGAGUGGCGAACGGGUGAGUAACACGCGGGUGAUCUGCCCUGCACUUCGGGAUAAGCCUGGGAAACUGGGUCUAAUACCGGAUAGGAGCCAUUUUUAGGGUGAUGGUUGGAAAGUUUUUUCGGUGUAGGAUGAGCUCGCGGCCUAUCAGCUUGUUGGUGGGGUAAUGGCCUACCAAGGCGGCGACGGGUAGCCGGCCUGUGAGGGUGGGCGGCCACAUUGGGGCUGAGAUACGGCCCAGACUCCUACGGGAGGCAGCAGUGGGGAAUAUUGCACAAUGGGCGCGAGCCUGAUGCAGCGACGCCGCGUGGGGGAUGACGGGCUUCGGGUUGUAAACUCCUUUCGCGAGGGACGAAGCUUUUUGUGACGGUACCUAGAUAAGAAGCACCGGCUAACUACGUG